Molecule: ribosomal RNA, 775 nt
Filed under: uncultured Neocallimastigales
Lineage: Eukaryota; Fungi; Neocallimastigomycota; Neocallimastigomycetes; Neocallimastigales
Description: partial large subunit ribosomal RNA
Rfam family: Eukaryotic large subunit ribosomal RNA
Source: RNAcentral
UACUAGAGUAGCACUCGCAUAUCAAUAAGCGGAGGAAAAGAAACUAACAAGGAUUCCCCUAGUAACGGCGAGUGAAGCGGGAAGAGCUCAAAUUUGAAAUCUUAAAGGGUUUCCCUUUACGAAUUGUAGUUUAAAGAAGUGUUUUCUGUUGAGGUUUUGGUAAAAGUUCUUUGGAAUAGGACAUCAUAGAGGGUGAGAAUCCCGUAUUUGACCUUUACUUUCAACUUUGUGAUACACUUUCAAAGAGUCGGAUUGUUUGGGAAUGCAGUCCAAAAUGGGUGGUAAAUUUCAUCUAAAGCUAAAUAUUGGCGAGAGACCGAUAGCGAACAAGUACCGUGAGGGAAAGAUGAAAAGAACUUUGAAAAGAGAGUUAAACAGUACGUGAAAUUGUCAAAAGGGAAGCGUUUGACACCAGUGUUGUUUUUCUGAAAAUCAACUUAAAGAACUGUUUAUGCUAAGCUGUUUAGACUUUAUCAGCUAUCUGUUUAGUUUUGAGCUUUUCUUUAAUGCACUUUUCAGUUAACAAGUCAACAUCAAUUUCUUUUGCUGUAAAAAAGCUUGAGGAAGGUGGCUUGAGAUUCGUCUUAAGUGUUUAUAGCCUCUUGCCUAUGCAGUCGGAGAGAUUGAGGUCUGCAGCGUAGAUCCUUCGGGGCUAAAUGCAUUUGUGCUAAGUUAUAGCAUUUUAUAGACAACUUGUUGACUAUGAUUUGUCUUGUAGCUUACUCGCUUAUGUUAUUUUACCUACGCUUAGGAUGUUGAGCGCAUGUCUCUCUCU